UCAUUUUCAUUUUCACUGCAGCUUCUUCAAUAACAAUAAUCAUGGCUGAGUGAGGAGGAGACCGCAACGGCUUUGGCAGAGGCUUCGGUGGUAGAGAUCGUGGUGGCGAUUGUAGAUGUGGACGCCGUCAUGUUGGCCGCCAUGACGAAGAGGACUGUUCUUCUAUUGGCAUUGUGUAGUUUUUCGCUUGAACAUGGUGAGUUUUUGCUUAGACAUGAUCCGAAAAACGACGCGGUGGAAGAACAAGUGGAAAUUUGGACGGAUUUUGAUUUUCUUUCUGAGUUUGGAUCUUCAAAGACGGUGGUUGAUAAUACAGAGUUUUCGGUCUUCUUUGGUGUUCCUGCAGUGAAGAUUGAAUUUAGAAAACUUGAGAGACUUCCUCAUGGUGAAAUCGGUUGCAUCACCUUCUUUAAAUUACUGUAAAUCUUUAUAAUCCAUGACAUGACAAGUUUCGACUGCGAGGACUUGCAAUUGUAUAUUUGUAUAUAUUUUUUGCUUCAGCAAAGGCAGCGUGACAUUGAGUUUAGGAAAUAUGCUAAUGAACAGAGAUAGAGGUAUCUCUUAUGUUUCAGACUUCAGGGUGUAUUCUGAGAGGUUCAUGGUUCAACUAUUGUAAAUUUGUAUGAUUUGGUACUGGCCUUCUAAACUUGUACAGGCAUAAACACCUAGUGGCUAACAUUGUAUUACAGACUUUGGCAAGCCAGUUGAUGUAGAUAACAUUUUAAAGAUUUGUAGAUGUUAUAUUGCAGUUUGAACCUAUUAAGUUUUUACUAUUCUCGUGUGCAAAACUUAUAUAAGUGCCUCAAUUUAUUACUUCAUAUCAUGCUAACUCAUAUCCUAACUAGCUACGUUCUUUCAACUUAUGCUCUAUCUUUUCUGAAGGAUAAAGGAAUACUUGUGUGAUUGUUAACUUGUUAAUAUGUUUUUCUAGGGUUGUGACUUUAGCAAUAUUUUUCUUCUCUCAGCCUUAUACUCCCUCAACAAUCAUCUGCACGAUGAGGUUCACAAGAAAAGUUAUGUGUGGUAACAAAUCCUUUGCUUUAUUAAUUAGUAAUCAAAUGUGAAUAUUUCUACUAUCAAGUAGGUCAUAACUUUGUUACUUAUCAAUUCAACCAUCUUUAUGUCUCUCAUAGAGAGCUAUCACUAAACAAAUGACUGCAAUAGAAGAAAUGGCUGCAAGUGAGUACAAUUAGCCAGACCCUCAUCUUUGUGACAAGAUCUUGAAGUUGGUCAUUUGUGGAGCAUUCUAGUUUGUUAUUGGUUGCAGUUUUAAUUAUUGCUCUCUCAAUAUAUAUAUAUAUAUAUAUAUAUUUGC
Molecule: long non-coding RNA, 1315 nt
Organism: Cucumis melo (muskmelon)
Lineage: Eukaryota; Viridiplantae; Streptophyta; Magnoliopsida; Cucurbitales; Cucurbitaceae
Exons: 3
Source: RefSeq, a predicted model, not a curated record